This is a non-coding RNA of Oryza barthii, 189 nucleotides long. NCBI's taxonomy places the organism in Eukaryota, Viridiplantae, Streptophyta, Magnoliopsida, Poales, Poaceae. The record is from Rfam.
UUCAAGUGCAGUCGUGGGUUUCUAUGUCUAACGUUUGACCCUCCGUCUUAUUUAUUUUUUUAUUAAUAUUUUUAUUGUUAUUAGAUAAUAAAACGUGAAUAAUACUUUAUGUGUGACUUAUUAUUUUUUAUUUUUUAAAUAAGACGAAUGGUUAAACGUUAGAUAUAGAAAUCUAUAACUAUAUUUACG